UUAGAUUGCUGCAACUGUGUGAGAGUUUGGAAUUAAUAACUACAAUGUUGUCGACUUUCGAUGAAAACAUGAAAUAUUUUGGUCUUUUGAAGUAGAUCUCGAUGUUGAGGUGCUUGGAUAUAGUGUGCACCACACUGUGCGAAGGGGCUAGAGGAUACAGGGCUCCGAGAAUUUCUAAAUCUACGCGAGCUGGACUUGUCUUCCCGGUGGGAAGAUUUCGAAGACGUCUAAAAACGGGCAAUUAUUCUGAUCGCAUUGCGAUAAAGGCUGCUGUUUAUAUAGCAGCUGUGAUAGAAUAUGUUACGGCAGAUAUCAUGCAUUUGGCUGGAAAUGCUGCAAAGGAAAACAGGAGGAAAAGAAUCAACGAACGACACCUUCAGCUUGCCAUUCUCACGGACUGUGAGUUGAGUGAACUGCUGAAAAACGUAACUGUUCGAGGUGGAGGCGCUUUGCCGCUCGAUCACCGUUGUUAUUUUUCAAAAUUUUGACAGGCUGCCCCUGAUACAAACUUCCCUUUGGGAUGACACACUGGCGUUGAUGUGUAGUUCCACUGAAACUGGGCAGGAGCAAGUCAAUGAUCAAUUUUCAUGAAAUGCAAACUUAAAAAGGACUAUCAUUGGAUCAUGGAACAAAGCAAAAAUUUGAAUUGCAUAAUAAGUGCAUGGAACAAUGUAAAAAUACACCUUUAUACUGACAUUGUACAGAGUUUUUAAAUGAUCACUACUUAAUUUGAUCAUUUGUAAAUACUGACUGCCACUCAGUUUUUCAAAUUGGCUUUAACAAGAAACCUCAUGUUUGUGUAAAAAUAUUAAAAUAAUGUAUAUAUGA
Molecule: long non-coding RNA, 828 nt
Organism: Liolophura sinensis
Lineage: Eukaryota; Metazoa; Mollusca; Polyplacophora; Chitonida; Chitonidae
Exons: 2
Source: RefSeq, a predicted model, not a curated record